CCUACGGGUGGCAGCAGUGAGGAAUAUUGGUCAAUGGACGAGAGUCUGAACCAGCCAAGUAGCGUGAAGGAUGACUGCCCUAUGGGUUGUAAACUUCUUUUAUAUGGGAAUAAAAUGUUCCACGUGUGGGAUUUUGUAUGUACCAUAUGAAUAAGGAUCGGCUAACUCCGUGCCAGCAGCCGCGGUAAUACGGAGGAUCCGAGCGUUAUCCGGAUUUAUUGGGUUUAAAGGGAGCGUAGGUGGAUUGUUAAGUCAGUUGUGAAAGUUUGCGGCUCAACCGUAAAAUUGCAGUUGAGACUGGCAGUCUUGAGUACAGUAGAGGUGGGCGGAAUUCGUGGUGUAGCGGUGAAAUGCUUAGAUAUCACGAAGAACUCCGAUUGCGAAGGCAGUUCACUGGACUGCAACUGACACUGAGGCUCGAAAGUGUGGGUAUCAAACAGGAUUAGAUACCCGUGUAGUC
Molecule: ribosomal RNA, 460 nt
Filed under: uncultured bacterium
Lineage: Bacteria
Description: partial 16S ribosomal RNA
Rfam family: Bacterial small subunit ribosomal RNA
Source: RNAcentral